Molecule: ribosomal RNA, 1489 nt
Filed under: Candidatus Altimarinota bacterium
Lineage: Bacteria; Candidatus Altimarinota
Description: bacterial SSU rRNA
Rfam family: Bacterial small subunit ribosomal RNA
Source: RNAcentral
GAAGAGUUUGACCCUGGCUCAGGAUGAACGCUAGCGGAACGCCUAACACAUGCAAGUCGAACGAGAGUUAUUUUGUAGCAAUACAAGAUAAUGAAAGUGGCAAACGAGCGAGUAACACGUACUUAACCUGCCCAGAAGUUGAGGCCAACUACAGAGAUGUAGCUAAUCCUCAAUAGUAUCUAAGUGAUGAAAUUAGCUUAGAUUAAAGAUUUAUCGCUUUUGGAGGGGGGUGCGGCCUAUCAGGUAGUUGGUGAGGUAAUGGCUCACCAAGCCUAUGACGGGUAGCCGGUCUGAGAUGAUGUCCGGCCGCGAUGGGACUGAGAUACGGCCCAUACUCCUACGGGAGGCAGCAGUGGGGAAUCUUGCACAAUGGACGAAAGUCUGAUGCAGCGAUUCCGCGUGGAGGAUGACGCAUUACGGUGUGUAAACUCCUUUUCUGGUGGAAGACGAAUGACGGUACACCAGGAAUAAGGGACGGCUAACUACGUGCCAGCAGCCGCGGUAAUACGUAGGUCCCAAGCGUUAUCCGGAUUUACUGGGCGUAAAGAGUCUGUAGCCUGAUAUAUAAGUCUGUUUUCAAAUACCUGGACUCAAUCGAGGGAAGGGGAUAGAUACUGUAUAUCUAGAGAUAUUUGGGGGUUAGUGGAAUUUCCGGUGGAGCGGUGAAAUGCGUUGAUAUCGGAAAGAACGCCAAAAGCGAAAGCAGCUAACUACAAUACAUCUGACGGUGAGAGACGAAAGUUUGGGGAGCAAACGGGAUUAGAUACCCCGGUAGUCCAAACCUUAAAUUAUGCUUGCUAGGUGUUUAGAUCUUUCGGGAUCUGAGUGCCGUAAUCUAACGAGUUAAGCAAGCCGCCUGGGUAGUAUAUUCGCAAGAAUGAAACUCAAAGGGAUAGGCGGGGGAACACACAAGCAGUGGAUUGUCUAGAUUAAUUGGAUACAAAGCCAAGAAUCUUACCUAGGAUUGACAUGCAAUGUGUCAUAUAUGAAAGUAUAUUAUCCGUAGCAAUACGGAGCUUUGCACAGGUGGUGCAUGGUCGUCGUCAGCUCGUGCCGCAAGGUGUCUAGUUAAGUCUAGUAACGAGCGCAACCCUCGUCCUUAGUUAGAAUGUCUAAGGAGACUGCCUGGGUAACCAGGAGGAAGGAGAGGAUGACGUCAGAUCCUCAUGCCCCUUACACCUAGGGCUUCAUAGACAAUACAAUGGGUAGUAACAACGAGAAGCAAUACCGCGAGGUGGAGCAAAUCUUUAAACCUACCCCUAGUUCGGAUUGUAGUCUGGAACUCGACUACAUGAAGUUGGAAUUGCUAGUAAUGGCGGAUCAGCUAUGCCGCCGUGAAUAUGUCCCUGUUCCUUGCACUCACCGCCCGUCAAACCAUGGGAGCUGAGGUUCUUUGAAGACUCGCUAUGCGGGUUAAGGAGGAAAUCAGUGACUGGGGUUAAGUCGUAACAAGGCAUCCCUACGGGAACGUGGGGAUAGACCACCACCC